RNAcentral lists this ribosomal RNA (252 nucleotides) under uncultured bacterium. RNAcentral describes it as "partial 16S ribosomal RNA". It matches the Rfam family "Bacterial small subunit ribosomal RNA", at positions 524 to 776 of the family's 1533-position model. The record is from RNAcentral.
UACGGAGGAUGCGAGCGUUAUCCGGAUUUAUUGGGUUUAAAGGGUGCGUAGGCGGAUUUUUAAGUCAGCGGUAAAAUGUCCGGGCUCAACCCGGGCCGGCCGUUGAAACUGGGGAUCUUGAGUGGGCGAGAAGUAUGCGGAAUGCGUGGUGUAGCGGUGAAAUGCAUAGACAUCACGCAGAACUCCGAUUGCGAAGGCAGCAUACCGGCGCCCGACUGACGCUGAGGCACGAAAGCGUGGGGAUCGAACAGG